UACGUAGGGGGCAAGCGUUGUUCGGAAUUACUGGGCGUAAAGGGCGCGUAGGCGGCAUGGCAAGUCGGGAGUGAAAGGCCUGGGCUCAACCGAGGAACUGCUUUCGAGACUGCCAAGCUAGAGUGCGGAAGGGGCAUCUGGAAUUCCCAGUGUAGCGGUGAAAUGCGUAGAUAUUGGGAAGAACACCUGAGGCGAAGGCGGGAUGCUGGGCCGACACUGACGCUGAGGCGCGAAAGCCAGGGGAGCAAACGG
This 252-nucleotide ribosomal RNA is filed under the name uncultured prokaryote. RNAcentral's name for it is "partial 16S ribosomal RNA". It matches the Rfam family "Bacterial small subunit ribosomal RNA", at positions 524 to 775 of the family's 1533-position model. The record is from RNAcentral.